Molecule: long non-coding RNA, 1475 nt
Organism: Solanum lycopersicum (tomato)
Lineage: Eukaryota; Viridiplantae; Streptophyta; Magnoliopsida; Solanales; Solanaceae
Source: RefSeq, a predicted model, not a curated record
UUAAAAGUCAUAUCCUGCAAAAAUCUUUGGCGUACUUUGACUAACUUUGUGUAUCUUCUAUUUGUUAAUAUAUUGGUCACCAUCAAAUUAAAGUCUGAUUUAGAUAAAUAGAAUGAAUACAUGAAAAAAAGACAACAUUUGUUGUUAAAUGUAUCAAUUGUAUUAUCUUGUAUAUAUCAAAUUUAUGUAACGUUUUGACUCGAUCGUUAUGAAUAAGAUUUGGGGCCUGAAAACUCUCCGAGUAGGGGCUUAAAAAUUUUCAGCUAAGUGCACAUAGACUCUGGGUUAGGUGAGGUCAUGGGACAUUUGGAAAUUGGUGGGGUGUGAUUUCAAGAUUUUGUUGCUAUAUUUCUGUACCCAAGAACUUAAGGAGUCCAUAAGACAUUUCGGAAUUAAAUUUGGAUAAUUAGUAGACAUUUGGGAAUUGAACUUGACGUAUGUGUUGCGACAUCAAUAUAAGAGUCUGUGCUGUAAAAAUGGCCUUGUUUCGAAGAUUGAGUUUCUGAAGUUUUGUGGAGGCCACUAUAGCGGGAAGCAUGCAUCCCACUUUAGAAGAUUGUGUAGACCGUUAUUGCACCAAAUUGGGAUUAAGAGCAGAAAAAACCCACAAAUCCUAUUUUAUGUACUUUGUGUUCUUGGAUUUAGAAGGGGCUACUUUGGAUUCAGAUAAGUAGACCUUCCAGAAUUGAACUUGACGUAUGCGUCUGGACAUCAAUAUAAGAGUUUGUGCUGUAAAAAUGGCCUUCUUUCGGAGUUUGUGUUUCUAAAAUUUCGUCGAGGCCGCUAUAGCGGGAGGCAGCCCACUAUAGCCGAGUGUGUAGACCGCUAUAGCGAGGGUAGCUAUUUCUAUAGCGCACCAAAUCAGGAUUUUAGAGCAGAAAAAAAUAUGAAACUCCUAUUUUCUGUACUUUGGUACUUAGACUUAGGAGGGGAUAUCUUGGGCAGGUAGCACCUGUUUCCAUGGAUUUCACAAUAAAGGUAAGAACUUGCUAUCCAUCCUUAUAAUGAAUUGAUUCUUAAGCCUUAGAAUUUAGGUUAUUACUUUUGGGGGAUGGUUUUGACAUGAUUCCACGGUGGGAAGGAGCCCUAAGUUGGGGAAGAUGGUCAUAUUUUUGCAUAGGUUUAGGAUUUGUUGACAAUCUGGGAAAAUUAUAGGCCACUAAUGAUUGAUUGUUAUUUAUAUUGUUUUUUAAAAUCAAGAACAAGUUAAGGCGCUUCGCAAGGGGAAAGUUCUUGAUUUUUCAAAGUUUUCAAGAGGCUUGAUUCGAGAGUACAAGGCAUCUUUCGACAGUUGAUUUUGAGACAUUAGUGGAGAGACGUUUGAUUUGGAAUCCCUGGGCGAGCUUCAUCUUUCAAGAUGUAACCGUUAUAAGAUGAGCUAUUUUUGUUGUUGUACCUGUGAUAAUUGGCGUACUGCGACCAAGGAAGCUAAAGGAUCAGCUCCAGGGGAGGCAAUAGGAGGGUUAUUGAAAUUA